CCAGCAGCCGCGGUAAUUCCAGCUCCAAUAGCGUAUACUAAAGUUGUUGCAGUUAAAAAGCUCGUAGUUGGAUUUGUGGUGUGUCCUGUCGGUGUCCCCUCAUUGAGGGGUCUUACUGUACGGGUCUGCCAUGUUUGGGUGGAAUCUGUGUGGCAUUAGGUUGUCGCGCAGGGGAUGCCCAUCGUUUACUGUGAAAAAAUUAGAGUGUUCAAAGCAGGCUUAUGCCGUUGAAUAUGUUAGCAUGGAAUAAUGAUAUAGGACCUUGGUACUAUUUUGUUGGUUUGCGCACUGAGGUAAUGAUUAAUAGGGACAGUUGGGGCUAUUCGUAUUCCAUUGUCAGAGGUGAAAUUCUUGGAUUUCUGGAAGACGAACUACUGCGAAAGCAUUUAGCAAGGAUGUUUUCAUUAAUCAAGAACGAAAGU
This 422-nucleotide ribosomal RNA is filed under the name uncultured bacillariophycid. RNAcentral's name for it is "SSU rRNA". It matches the Rfam family "Eukaryotic small subunit ribosomal RNA", at positions 567 to 990 of the family's 1831-position model. The record is from RNAcentral. Lineage: Eukaryota; Bacillariophyta; Bacillariophyceae.